AUCGCUUCUCAGCCUUUUGACUAAGAUCAAGCAUAGUAUCAGUUUAAUAUCUGAUAUGUUCUCUAUCCGGAGGACAAUACAUUAAAUAGAUUUUUUGGAACACAGAGAUGGACUAGGAGCGUGCGCCUUCCACUCCAUACAUCAACCUGGUAUUACAGUACUUCCAGGAACGGUGCACCAAAA
RNAcentral lists this small nuclear RNA (183 nucleotides) under Tupaia belangeri (northern tree shrew). RNAcentral's name for it is "U2 spliceosomal RNA (ENSTBEG00000018293.1)". It matches the Rfam family "U2 spliceosomal RNA". From Rfam's summary of the family: U2 is a small nuclear RNA (snRNA) component of the spliceosome (involved in pre-mRNA splicing). Complementary binding between U2 snRNA (in an area lying towards the 5' end but 3' to hairpin I) and the branchpoint sequence (BPS) of the intron results the bulging out of an unpaired adenosine, on the BPS, which initiates a nucleophilic attack at the intronic 5' splice site, thus starting the first of two transesterification reactions that mediate splicing. The record is from RNAcentral. Lineage: Eukaryota; Metazoa; Chordata; Mammalia; Scandentia; Tupaiidae.